GAUGAACGCUGGCGGCGUGCCUAAUACAUGCAAGUCGAGCGAACAGACGAGGAGCUUGCUCCUUUGACGUUAGCGGCGGACGGGUGAGUAACACGUAGGUAACCUACCUAUAAGACUGGGAUAACUUCGGGAAACCGGAGCUAAUACCGGAUAAUAUUUCGAACCGCAUGGUUCGAUAGUGAAAGAUGGCUUUGCUAUCACUUAUAGAUGGACCUGCGCCGUAUUAGCUAGUUGGUAAGGUAACGGCUUACCAAGGCAACGAUACGUAGCCGACCUGAGAGGGGGAUCGGCCAACUUGGAACUGGGAACCGGUCCAGACUCCAAGGGAGGGCAGCAGAGGGAAUUCUUCGGCAAGGGGCGAAAGCUUGACGAAGCAACGCGGCGGGGUGGAUGAAGGUCUUCGGAUCGAAAAACUCUGUUAUAAGGAAAGAACAAACGGGUAGGUAACGGUGAACGUCUGAACGGUACCAAUCAGAAAGCCACGGCUAACUACGUG
RNAcentral lists this ribosomal RNA (496 nucleotides) under uncultured bacterium. RNAcentral's name for it is "partial 16S ribosomal RNA". It matches the Rfam family "Bacterial small subunit ribosomal RNA", at positions 28 to 507 of the family's 1533-position model. The record is from RNAcentral.